This 714-nucleotide ribosomal RNA is filed under the name uncultured beta proteobacterium. RNAcentral's name for it is "bacterial SSU rRNA". It matches the Rfam family "Bacterial small subunit ribosomal RNA", at positions 48 to 759 of the family's 1533-position model. The record is from RNAcentral. Lineage: Bacteria; Pseudomonadati; Pseudomonadota; Betaproteobacteria.
CUUACACAUGCAAGUCGAACGGUAACAGGUCUUCGGAUGCUGACGAGUGGCGAACGGGUGAGUAAUACAUCGGAACGUGCCCGAGAGUGGGGGAUAACGAAGCGAAAGCUUUGCUAAUACCGCAUACGAUCUCAGGAUGAAAGCAGGGGACCGCAAGGCCUUGCGCUCACGGAGCGGCCGAUGGCAGAUUAGGUAGUUGGUGGGAUAAAAGCUUACCAAGCCGACGAUCUGUAGCUGGUCUGAGAGGACGACCAGCCACACUGGGACUGAGACACGGCCCAGACUCCUACGGGAGGCAGCAGUGGGGAAUUUUGGACAAUGGGCGCAAGCCUGAUCCAGCCAUGCCGCGUGCAGGAUGAAGGCCUUCGGGUUGUAAACUGCUUUUGUACGGAACGAAAAGACUCUGGUUAAUACCUGGGGUCCAUGACGGUACCGUAAGAAUAAGCACCGGCUAACUACGUGCCAGCAGCCGCGGUAAUACGUAGGGUGCGAGCGUUAAUCGGAAUUACUGGGCGUAAAGCGUGCGCAGGCGGUUAUGUAAGACAGAUGUGAAAUCCCCGGGCUCAACCUGGGAACUGCAUUUGUGACUGCGUAGCUAGAGUACGGCAGAGGGGGAUGGAAUUCCGCGUGUAGCAGUGAAAUGCGUAGAUAUGCGGAGGAACACCGAUGGCGAAGGCAAUCCCCUGGGCCUGUACUGACGCUCAUGCACGAAAG